RNAcentral lists this long non-coding RNA (3618 nucleotides) under Triticum aestivum (bread wheat). RNAcentral describes it as "long non-coding RNA (TAES_LNC024757)". The record is from RNAcentral. Lineage: Eukaryota; Viridiplantae; Streptophyta; Magnoliopsida; Poales; Poaceae.
GAGAGUACUGGGAAAGCGUGCGUGGACUUCGUUCGGAGAGGUGGUCGGUUCACGCUGCUCCUGCUCGAGCAAGGUACUGAACACUGUAAUUCUUGGCUUGGUGUGUUCCGUUCAUCCGUAAUCUGUAGAAUUUAUGCUUUAUUUAUGUUGAAUGAAUGAAAAAAAUUGGCGCUUAUUAAUUUUUAUUGUAAUUGUAAUUGGACACGAUGAAGAAUGGGACAGUCUCUUUUACGGAAAUAUGAGUCUAAAAGCAAACAUGACUGCAUCUUUUCAUUAGUUUUUCUUCGUUGGUCAUAAUUUUGUAAAGAAAAUAUAUAGCAGGUUUUUUGUCUUCACACAUAUCUAAGGAUUGCAGCUUAGCUGGUAGAAUCAUGAACCCAACGUUUAAUUUGGAAACGUGCAGAGUAUAUAUGCCAAUUUUUAUUUUUAUUUGGAAAAGUGCAGGGUAUAUAUGCCAAUAACAUGUAGGACAAGUGAUUGAUCACAAUUUACAAACUAGCAGUGAAAGCCUUUUUCAGGAUAGUAGUUCUCUGAGAUAACUUUAUCGUCAAAAUUUAUUUAUCGUUCUCUGGGAUAACCAGUUGAAAGGGGGUAUUGAAAAUAUAUGACAUUUGAAUGCAACUGUGACCUAGCAACUUUCACUCACUAUGAUGUGUGAGGUUCUUUGUCAGCAACUAGGACUGUCCAAUCUCCUCAAUCCGCUGCACGACAUCAGACAUUGUAGGCCUCGAGUCAACAUCUUGACUGCAACACUUUAGCCCGAGCUGCAUAAGUCGCACCAUGCACUCCUCUUUCCCAUCCUUCUGCCCCCGUGCUAGGAGCUCCACGUCGAAUACCUCCGCCGUCCACUCCUCAGGUAUAAUGGAACACACCCACCGUGGCAAAUCUACUCCCCCGCCGUUCUGAAAUCUCUUCUCCAGUGGAGACUUGUGGGUGAGAAGCUCCAGCAGUAGGAUGCCGAAGCUGUACAUGUCAGAUUCCUGGGAGACCCACCUAUUGCGGGUGACCUCAGGUGCACGGUAGCCGGGGGCAUUGGAAUACAUGCCAAGUGUUAUCAGGCCAUGCUCCGACACACAUGCGUCGUGGGUACCGGUGAGCAGGAUGUUAGAAGACUUGAUGUUGCCAUGGCAGCUCGUUGGUCCAGCUAAGUGGAUAGCCUGCACACCAUGCGCAGCAGCUAGUGAGAUAGCCAACCGCUGCUCCCAGUCCAGUGGAGCUGGGCCAGAACCUCGGUCACCUUCAUUCACACAUCAUGAAUUAGUGAUGCCUCAAAAGCAUUAGAAAUUGUAAAGGAAAGCACAUGCUAGCAUUGUUCAGUAUAGACAUUACCGUGGAGCACUUUUGCUAGGCUACCCAUGGGGAUGACAUUAUACACCAGCAACUUCUCAUCCUUGUCACAGUAAUACCACAGCAGUGGCACUAUGUGUUUGUUCUGGAUAGCGCCAAGCAGUGUGACAAGCCGCUCAAAGAUCGCCUCCCCUAAGUCCACAUCUUUCAGCCUCUUGACCACCAGCUCAUAUCCACUAUAAAAUGUCGCUUUGUAUGUUAGCCCUACUGUACCCUUGCCCAGCACUUCAGUUGAUGCCCGCAGCAACUCGUCCAGCUCAAAAACUUGGCCUUUCACUGUUGGCCAAAUGAUAAAAUUUCCCACAUUUCGGGUACUGCUGCUGCUUUCUAGUGGUUGUAUUUUUUUUAUGAAUGUCUAGUUGCUGUGUUUCGGCUGAAGCUAGUUUAUCUUCCCUUCCCCAAGAAAAUAGUGCUAGUCUUUCUUGUACCUGGUGUGGAGCUUUUCUAAGUUUGCGAAGAUGUUCUGCAACCUCUAACAUCUCAGGGCGUUUGUCCUGUUCCAUACUCAAGCAUUUACCUGCCAACUUGGCAAUCUCAUCGAUAGUCUUCAUGUUGCUCGAUGUUGCAAUUGUAAAAUCAAACAUUUCCCUCACCCUCCUAAACUCUUUUGAAAGAGAUCGAAUAAAACUUUCCACCAAGCCAAUCUCCCCAUCCUCUGUUCUUGCUUUUUUUCUGGUUAUCAGUUCCAGGAGCACAACUCCAAAACUAUAAACAUCACUCUUUGCUGUGAGGCGACCAUUCUGAGCAAACAGAGGGUCCAUGUAGCCUAUACUUCCUAUCACAUUUAGAGUAUAUAGAGUCUUUUCAGUGUUGACUAGUCUUGAUAUUCCAAAGUCUGAUAUUUUUGCUCUGAGUUCAUCAUCCAGAAGUAUAUUAGCAGGCUUGAUAUCACCAUGAAUGACCUGGGUAUACAUUUGUGAGUGCAUAUAGGCCAAUGCUUCAGCGCAUUCAAUGGCAAUUCUUAGCCUUAUAUCCAAAGCGAUAGGAAUAUUAUCAUGGUGAAGAAUGUUACUCAGAUUUCCUUUAGGAAUAUACUCCGUGACCACCAUUUGGGCAUUUUCAUCUGCACAGUAGCCGACUAAUCUGACUACAUUCUUGUGAUUGAUUUCACGGUGGACGAUCAACUCUUUGGCAAAACUUUCUCUUACAUUGUAGAUAAACCUCUUGACAGCAAUCAUACUUUUGUCCUCAAGGACUCCUUGAUAAACUUCUCCAAAGGCACCUCUACCAAGUAAAGUCUUAUAGUUGUCAGUAAAUCUUUUUAUCUCAUCUUCUGUAAAACAUUUCACAUUAUGAUUGCUACGUGCUAUCCAUUUCGAUCUGUGCUCUUCAUGGAUAAGUUGUGUUACUAUAUUUUCUGGAUGAUCCAUCUUUGGAAGUAGUAGGGAACUUAUUCAACGUUGGAAGAUAAUUUGACCUAGAAACAGUUUUGGUAGUGGUAAAAGUCAAAUUUAAUACAACAUAUAAAUGAGGUAACAAAUAAACAAAGUACGGAAACGUGCUUAAUUUCCUUGGAUUAAUCAUCAAUGAAGCGGGGCAAUGGGCAACAUACAAAGAUACCAUUUAGAAACAAACAUCUCCUUGAGCUGCCAGAGAUACCCAAUCUAUAUUGCUAUAAUACUUUUUUAGAUAUUCACACAACACUGAAGAUAAUCGUUUCGUGUUUGUUCAUGGAGUACAUCGCUGAGUAAGUACUACUACGUGCUAGGGAGUAUAAUUAAUAUUUAUUGUUCAGUUCUGAUCUGGAUUUUGAAUAGUAGCAGCUUCAUGGUACGAUCUGAGUAAUUCUACAUAAUUGCUUCCUUACAGGGGAAAUGAAAUGUUUUGAACAUGAAGAAAACAGGUUGGAAUCGGCUAAACAAAGAAGUGAAGAAUUUAUGAUACAUAGUCCUAAUAUCUCUGGAAAAAGCCCAGACAGAAGUCUAAGAAAUGUGGUGAAGACACGGAGGUGGGCAAGGUUGAACCAAACAUACCAGUUGAGAAUGGAGGCCGUAACAUAGCACAAUCAAUGGAGCCUUCUUUUGUUAGUGGUCGCGUAGAUCGCCAUGGAAUGGAUCUAGAAGAAAGAACAGAUUGAGUGUAGCUAAUGUAACCUUAUUACUCUAUUCAUGGAUUGCCAUCACCGAUGGUCAACUCUCAGAACACGAACGGGGUGGCCUUAUCUGUGGUGGUUGGGAUGCUUAAUGACAACUGGUACCAAAUUAAAUAAAGGUGAUCAUGUCAAACAAGCUAUGUAAGAGCGUCCCAGUCCAAAGAUCGCAACGGUAAGAG